GUUCCCCUGGCAACCAGAAGCGCGCCGCUCCAGUCUCGCGAUAGGAGGAAAAGGCUGUACCAACCGGAAAUAGGACGUGGGGGCGGGCGACCGGGAAGACUGGCGAAGCGACGGGAGUUCCGGGUUAGGCGGUCCUGCUGUCUCCUCAGCGUUUGAGUUUCCCUAAUUCUCAGUCCAUACAGACGUCCCCCUGGAUCCCGUAGCGGAUAUUUCCUCAUCCUCGGUACCAUCAGUUGUCUUCUACUUUUGAGUCUGAACAGAACUUUACAGUUAACAAGCAUUCUCACGUUCGUGACCUGUUUAUCGUUGUUAUUUAGGGAUCGAACUCGGGUCCUUUUGCUUGUGCAGAAAACCACAUUUUAGAGUCAUGCGGAACGCACCGAAUCAGCCCGCUGCAGACAGGCAGGUCUGCGGACGCCCUACCAAGGUCGCAAGUCCCACAGAAUACACUGAAUCAGCCCGUGCCCUGGCAGCAAUCCACUGGACACCCCCCCACAUCCCCACUCCUCUGCACAACCACUUGGUUCCACACUACAAAGACGCAGAGGACACCAGACCACCAGACCACUGUAUUGGGUGGUGAAUGCACUCCAAAAGCUUCCUAUGACCAGAAGCUGGGCUUUGGAAAAGACUGGAUCACAGGAGGGAUUCAUCCACUAAUGAGUCCACAGCUGACUGUGCAGUUAAGAGUUGGGGCCUGGUUGGAAGAGGCAGGUCACUGGGGGUGUGGCCCCAAAGGGUUUGAAGCUUCAUCUUCCUUUUACAACAUUCUUGAGUCCAUCUGUGAUACCCUGGAUGCAUGGAACCCACAAGUAGACCCUGAUACACUGGGGAUCCAUAGCCUGGAGGCUCUGCUUCCUGGAUGCUGUGAACUAAGCAGCUUGGUUAAACCAUGCCCUUCUGCCAUGAUCUCUCUGCUUUGGAACUUGUCAACCAUGUACUGAAUCUCCUGAAACUGUGAGCCAAAAUAAACUUUUCCUUUAAGUUGUGGGUGUCAAGUAUUUUGUCCCACUGGCAGGAAAGUUACCAUAGAAUAAGGAAUGUAGUUAUACUUAAGAAGCAUAAUUCCAUAUGUGUUAUGUUUUCUUACCUUUUCCCUUAAAAUAUACACUCCAUGAUCAUUCUAGCACCUCCUAUGUGUGUAUAUUACAUUUAGUAUAUGGACUGCAAUGAAUAAGCAUACAAAAAGCAAUUUGGAUGGGAAGGAGAAAGAUGCAGUCAUUAAAUUCUAAUCUAUACAGCUGAAAAAAAAUUACUCUUCAUAUCUAACACAUACCUCAGGAACCAUAUUUCUCAGCAUUGAAUUUCCCUUCCAGGUUUAGAACUUACCCUCCCCCUAGUGAAUUGAAACAAGACCUGGGUAUUUAAAGAGGAUGUGGAUCAAAGACCUUGCACAUUUAUGCCUUUAACCCCUGCAAGAGUCAUUCUGAGGAAAUGAAUAAGAACCAGCAAUAACUCUACUGACAGCAAAUCUUUUGUCAGCUCAUAUGUAAGGGAGAUUUCACCACAGGCCCAGGGGCUACUAUCACUUAUUUAUUCAUUCCUUUAUUAUUCUCUCACUUAAAUUUGAUAAUAAGUAUUUUGUGAUUUCCCAGAACAUGAAUAGCCAUGGGGAUUCCCAUAAAAUGAUGCUGGAGAUUAUAAUUUAAUUUCUAUGAAUGUUUCAGGGCUUUAUUCUACUUAUUAACUUAUCUUCUAGGCACAAAUAAAGAAAAACAUUGGCUGGAACCUGAGGCUAAGAGAAGAGGAGCUAUUUUAGCUGAGACCUCUUACAUAGAAAAUCUCAGUUCAGGGCUGGGGAUUUAGCUCAGUGGUUCUGCCGCCUGCCUCACAAGUGCAAGGACCCAAGUUCAAUCCCCAGUACAAAAAAAAAAAAAGAAAAUCUCAGUUCAUUUCAAUUUUAAAAACCUUGCACACAAAGGCCUUUGAUGCUACCCUAAGCAUUAAUACCAAUUCCUGUUAUUUUUAUGAUUAUUUUUCUUUUGGCUGUAGAACUCUAAUACAGCACAUUAAUUGUGACAUAAACCUGCUGCAUUUUUACAACCAUGUGGGGGAAGAUAAUCACUGCUAUAGUGUUAUUGUCAUCCACUGUAUGCCGAUACAUUGGUAGGCGUCUAUAGGAAAGCAUUAGCCCUUUCCCUUCACCAAAACACAACGUAAACCAAGCCUUCUUCCCUGAGUGUCGCAAACCUGCCGCAGCAGCUGCAUGCAAGUCUGCCAAGAGCUCAGCAUUACCAUGCUAGGGUGGGGCAGUGGCUUUGCUCUCUGAUUGAAUCAGACUCCAAAUGUUAAUUCAGUGCACCAGUUGGUUAACUUAGGGAUCCCUGUCUAAGGAUAGGCCACUUUGGAUUUCUAUGUAUGUGCUUAGAUACUCUAUUUAUCUGCUUUACUCUUAUGUCAUUGAUGUAAGUAAAUUAAUCAUGUGCAUUAAUGCUUGGAUAUGGCUUGUAAGUUUGAUGCAAAUUUGAACAUUCUUUUAAUAUCCCCUAAAUAAAUAUUCUGGUUUA
Heterocephalus glaber (naked mole-rat) is the source of this 2507-nucleotide non-coding RNA. Lineage: Eukaryota; Metazoa; Chordata; Mammalia; Rodentia; Bathyergidae. The record is from RefSeq and is a predicted model, not a curated record.